RNAcentral lists this long non-coding RNA (1082 nucleotides) under Callithrix jacchus (white-tufted-ear marmoset). RNAcentral's name for it is "lncRNA (ENSCJAG00000072613.1)". The record is from RNAcentral. Lineage: Eukaryota; Metazoa; Chordata; Mammalia; Primates; Cebidae.
CACACCAAAUUACCAAAUAAAUCAGUAAUGAAUCUGGGAAAAAAAACCUUCAGUAUUUCUUAUUUCACUCUCACCCAGAAGAAGAAAAUUAUUUCCUGAAAUAUUAAUGAAGAAUGUUCACUGGAGCUAAGAAAAAAGUUAACAAAGCAAUUAAGACUCAGAAAAUUGCAGAUAUCAAGUUUUCAUACAUAUUUGUUCCAUAUGAGACUUCCAAAAAAAUUCAGGAGUGCCAGUUCCAAGGGAGAUGAAGGAGUCCUGUGGGUGAUCAUGUUGACAGGAGGACUAACAAAAAUAUGUGAAAAGAAUCUUGGAUUUUCAGCUGGGAAACCUAGAAGAGAUCAUAGCCAGAGACUAUGCAUCACAUGCUGCCUUUGAAUUCAUGGCAAAAUAGAACGUCUGCAUUAAAGGAUCAACAUCUUCCAUUAAACUCCUGUGAUGUCACAACAAACUAGGACUGAAGAUCAGGGACCAGUUUGACAGGCUUUCAAAUGGACCUCCUGGAUAUGGGGAUAUAACGCAAUAGACAAGAAGGGAAUGAAAGACAGAGAGAAAAGACAAUGCUUGGAAAUAAAAAUGGUGGUGCCUUGAGGGAAGAGCAAUUGAGUAUAACUGGGUAAAUGACACAAUGGAAUUGUGCUGCUAAUUUUCCCCUGCUACACAUAUAAAUUAUGCAGAGAAUAUUGGAUUGAUAACUUCUCUGCAGUGAAAACUGCCUAUUUGCUUUCAGGGCCUGGCAGAGGUGAGAGCAGUGGUGAGAGGAAUUAGCACACAAAAAAGGAAUAAGAGACAUACAAAAUUACGUAUGACACAGAGGAUCCUGGAAAACUGUGAAAUGUACACAUGCAUCCUGAGAGUCAAAUUAGGGAAGAUACACAUUUCAUUUAACCUGAAAUUUGGGCUACCAGGUUGGCAGAUAUAAGAAGAAGCGCCUUAAAUAGUUAACAGCUUCAGCUAAUUGCUGGUUCAUAAUGAAGUUAAUAGCUCCUAGUUGAUGUUUUCUUUGCAAGCUUUAAUAAGGCUUACUUAAAACCUCUACUUUUUCUUUAAAAAGUUGCCAGCUAUGCGUAAGAAAGGCAAUAAUG